CCCUUAGAUGUCCUGGGCCGCACGCGCGCUACACUGAUGCAUGCAACGAGUUUAUAACCUUGGCCUGAAAGGUCUGGGUAAUCUUUUGAACGUGCAUCGUGAUAGGGAUAGAUUAUUGCAAUUGUUAAUCUUGAACGAGGAAUUCCUAGUAAACGCGAGUCAUCAGCUCGCAUUGAUUACGUCCCUGCCCUUUGUACACACCGCCCGUCGCACCUACCGAUUGAAUGGUUCGGUGAAGAUCUCGGACUUCGAUAUUUAUUCUUUAUUGAGUUUAUAUUGUGGGAAGUUAUCUAAACCUCAUCAGUUAGAGGAAGGUGAAGUCGUAACA
RNAcentral lists this ribosomal RNA (328 nucleotides) under uncultured eukaryote. RNAcentral describes it as "partial 18S ribosomal RNA". It matches the Rfam family "Eukaryotic small subunit ribosomal RNA", at positions 1470 to 1796 of the family's 1831-position model. The record is from RNAcentral.